RNAcentral lists this ribosomal RNA (475 nucleotides) under uncultured organism. RNAcentral's name for it is "partial 16S ribosomal RNA". It matches the Rfam family "Bacterial small subunit ribosomal RNA", at positions 333 to 799 of the family's 1533-position model. The record is from RNAcentral.
ACACUCCUACGGGAGGCAGCAGUGGGGAAUUUUGGACAAUGGGCGAAAGCCUGAUCCAGCCAUGCCGCGUGCAGGAUGAAGGCCUUCGGGUUGUAACCUGCUUUUGUACGGAACGAAACGGCCUUUUCUAAUAAAGAGGGCUAAUGACGGUACCGUAAGAAUAAGCACCGGCUAACUACGUGCCAGCAGCCGCGGUAAUACGUAGGGUGCAAGCGUUAAUCGGAAUUACUGGGCGUAAAGCGUGCGCAGGCGGUUAUGUAAGACAGUUGUGAAAUCCCUGGGCUCAACCUGGGAACUGCAUCUGUGACUGCAUAGCUAGAGUACGGUAGAGGGGGAUGGAAUUCCGCGUGUAGCAGUGAAAUGCGUAGAUAUGCGGAGGAACACCGAUGGCGAAGGCAAUCCCCUGGACCUGUACUGACGCUCAUGCACGAAAGCGUGGGGAGCAAACAGGAUUAGAAACCCUUGUAGUCCCAUG